This 253-nucleotide ribosomal RNA is filed under the name uncultured bacterium. RNAcentral describes it as "partial 16S ribosomal RNA". It matches the Rfam family "Bacterial small subunit ribosomal RNA", at positions 524 to 776 of the family's 1533-position model. The record is from RNAcentral.
UACGAAGGGGGCGAGCGUUGUUCGGAAUUACUGGGCGUAAAGCGCGCGCAGGCGGUUCUUUAAGGCUGAUGUGAAAGCCCACGGCUCAACCGUGGAGGGUCAUUGGAAACUGGAGAACUUGAGUACAGAAGAGGAAAGCGGAAUUCCACGUGUAGCGGUGAAAUGCGUAGAGAUGUGGAGGAACACCAGUGGCGAAGGCGGCCUGCUGGGCAGUGGCUGACACUGAGGCGCGACAGCGUGGGGAGCAAACAGG